This 433-nucleotide ribosomal RNA is filed under the name uncultured bacterium. RNAcentral describes it as "partial 16S ribosomal RNA". It matches the Rfam family "Bacterial small subunit ribosomal RNA", at positions 29 to 507 of the family's 1533-position model. The record is from RNAcentral.
AACGAACGCUGGCGGCAUGCCUAACACAUGCAAGUCGAACGAGACCUUCGGGUCUAGUGGCGCACGGGUGCGUAACGCGUGGGAACCUGCCCUUAGGUUCGGAAUAACUCCCCGAAAGGGGUGCUAAUACCGGAUAAUGUCUUCGGACCAAAUAUUUAUCGCCUUUGGAUGGGCCCGCGUUGGAUUAGCUAGUUGGUAGGGUAAAAGCCUACCAAGGCGACGAUCCAUAGCUGGUCUGAGAGGAUGAUCAGCCACACUGGGACUGAGACACGGCCCACACUCCUACGGGAGGCAGCAGUGGGGAAUAUUGGACAAUGGGCGAAAGCCUGAUCCAGCAAUGCCGCGUGAGUGAUGAAGGCCUUAGGGUUGUAAAGCUCUUUUACCCGGGAUGAUAAUGACAGUACCGGGAGAAUAAGCUCCGGCUAACUCCGUG